AAUUAGCCAAAAUAGCUAGCAUGAAGCUAAAAUAUUAGCUAAACUCCAAAAUAGCCUGAAAACCCUUAAUGAAUGCCAAAAUAGUCUAAAAAGCUAGCAGAAUGCUAUUAUAUAGAUGCUCCUGAACUCACCACCGGAUCUCCGUUCCCGUCGUCCGUGAAGAACCAGUCGUACUGGAAAAGAGCAGAAAUGGUGAGUUCUGCUGCCGUCGUGGGAGCAGGAGUCCUGACGGGUCUGCAGCUCACGUUCUGGAUCAGCGUCUCCACGAUCCGGUACUGGUCCGGCAUGUGGGUCACCAUGUGGGUCAUGUUGUCCUCCGUGGUGCGGACCAGAGUGGGGCCGAACACGAUGGCGAGGUUCCUCGGUUCCAUCUACACACAGAUGAAACAUUUUCGGUUCUGCUACAGCGUCAGUCCAAACAAAAGCAGCAGAACAACGGUAAGAACCUUGUUUUUCUCAGAGUUUUCAGCGACGGUCUUCAGAUGAGCAGAGAGGAACUUGAGCGUCUCGUAAUGAUGGUCCGGUAACUCGUGCAGCUGCGGGUCAACAACACGUCUGAGGUUCUGCUCAGGUUCUGGUUGUAAUGAGAGAAGGUUCUGCUCACCAGCCUCUUCAGCACUUUCAGCCUCUCCACCGGGUCUUCGAUCCGGUUGGCCUCGAUGAAGUCUGCGUACCUCCCUGCGGCACAGCAUCACAGUCAGCAUCACCUGAAACUCCCGGCUUACCCACAAGGUGGCGCCUCGACUCACUGUUGGUGAACAGCGGUUCUGGAAGUUUACGGAAGAAGGACUUGACUUGCAGCAAACCUCCACGAUCAGAGGCACGAACUGGAACACAGAGAGACGCUUUAGGAGGGGGUCGCCACGGCGCCCUGAUGCUCCGCCUUCUCGUCCGCUUCACCUUGUUGGUCUGCGCCGGAGGACAGUCGUCUAACCGAACUCCGAAGGUGACGCCUGCGGACGGCUUCUUCUCGAAGGGCUUCCUCAUGAGUCCCGGGAUGCCUUUCCUCCACGUCCCUUUAUCCUUGGGGGGGCUGGUGUCGUCUGCAGGCGCGGGGGUGAGACAGGAGAGCGUCAUGAAGACACGGAGAACCCCACAACCCUCUCAGAGCUGCUUGAAAUGCAGGAAACCUUCUUUGGUGGCGUCGCAGAAGACGUCGGACGACGAGUCCCCCCGGGAGCCGGAGUCCUCCGAGGAGCGGUCUAUCGCCUGCAGAGCGCCAGACGAACAACACACUCACGUAUGAGAGAGAGCCGUUUGGCUUCAGAGCUGAACAGGAAGUGAUGCGAAAGGAGGCGGGGAGAGCUGGCACUCCGCCUCAAACCUUACCUUCCUCAACCCUUUCAGGCCUGGUAUCAAAGAUCUCCUGAACACAAGGAAAAGGGAUGGAGUUACAAGCGUGAAUGCGUUUAUGAGAAACCAGACAUUUGAGGAAGACGAGGAAUUACCGAAAAAAAACAGUAAAAACAAAAACAUCUGGAUUUGUUUUCAGGUCGAGUGGGAACAUCUCUGGAUUUCUGGGAGCAAAAGCUCAUGGGCCAAAAAAAAUGAUUUUAAUCAAGAAAAAAAUGGUUUAUUAUUCUCAAAUAGAAGAAAGACUACGUUUCACAGAAAAGUGAAGCUGAAUUUGCUGAUUUGAAGCACAAAAUAAAGAAAUAGAGGGAAUAAUAACAAAAAAAAG
Oryzias javanicus (javanese ricefish) is the source of this 1681-nucleotide long non-coding RNA. The record is from Ensembl. NCBI's taxonomy places the organism in Eukaryota, Metazoa, Chordata, Actinopteri, Beloniformes, Adrianichthyidae.